GCACUUAUAGCUCAGCUGGUUAGAGCGCUUGAUUCACAUUCAAGAGGUCUCUGGUUCGAACCCAGAUAAGUGCACCA
Molecule: transfer RNA, 77 nt
Filed under: bacterium
Lineage: Bacteria
Description: tRNA-Val
Rfam family: tRNA
About the family: Transfer RNA (tRNA) molecules are approximately 80 nucleotides in length.
Source: RNAcentral